GGAUCAAUUGAUUGGUCAUGCCAUUGGUAUGUACUGGUCAUAUUGGUUCUCACCUUCUAAGGAACCAUAAUGUCAUUAAUUUGAUGUUUUGGGGAAUUAGGACUGUUACCUUGAAAAAAUUAGAGUGUUUAAAGCAGGCUCACGCUUGAAUACAUUAGCAUGGAAUAACGAAAUAGGACGUUUGAUUCUAUUUUGUUGGUUUCUAGGAUCGACGUA
RNAcentral lists this ribosomal RNA (216 nucleotides) under uncultured Glomeromycotina. RNAcentral describes it as "partial small subunit ribosomal RNA". It matches the Rfam family "Eukaryotic small subunit ribosomal RNA", at positions 655 to 864 of the family's 1831-position model. Lineage: Eukaryota; Fungi; Glomeromycota. The record is from RNAcentral.